GACCUUUUGGCUAUUUUCAUUUAAGACCCAGGCACAAACUUAGUAGCAUAGACCCAAGCAUUGUUUGCAACAGGGUUAUCAAGGUGGUCCAAUAGGUUCUCCAAGGGACCUUUACCAGUAACAAUGGCUUGAACAAAGAAACCAAACAUUGAAAACAUGGCUAGCCUACCAUUCUUGAUUUCUUUAACCUUAAGUUCAGCAAAUGUAACAGGGUCAUCAGCAAGACCAAGAGGGUCAAAGUAUUGUCCACCAGGGUAAAGAUCAUUGCCUUCACCAACACCAGGGAAGCCAUUGAUGCGGAAUCCUUCGACGAGUCCCAUUAGGACAACUUGGAAUCCGAGAACGGCAAGGAUGCUUUGAGCAUGGACUAGGUUAGGGUUGCCUAAGUAAUCCAAGCCACCUUCUGAGAAAAUUUGAG
This 418-nucleotide long non-coding RNA is filed under the name Gossypium barbadense (sea-island cotton). RNAcentral's name for it is "long non-coding RNA (GBAR_LNC023069)". The record is from RNAcentral. Lineage: Eukaryota; Viridiplantae; Streptophyta; Magnoliopsida; Malvales; Malvaceae.